CAAUCCUCCUGCCUCAGCCUCCCAAAGCACUAGGAUUACAGGUGUCAGCCACCACAUCCAGCCUUAACUUAUUAAAACUUCAAAUAACAACCAAGAAAAGGGCAUAAGAUUUUAUGUUCUUCAAAAAUGGGGCAUACUAGUUUUAAAAAGGCAAAGACAUACUGCUUUAGGGUCAACUUUUUAAAAAUGUGCUAUGUAACAAUUCAACUAGUGUCCAAGCCAGCUAGAGAAUUUAAAGGACUUAUUUAUAGUCAGUUAAAUCAGUGAUGAAAUAGGAAUGGCCUUAAAACCAGAACGGGAGGAAACAACCUAAUAGAAUUCAGUGUUGGGUUUUAUGGAACUCAGAAUUACACAUCACCCGAAUUCUGAACACGUGGAGUUACGUGUGUUAGAAACUUCUUCCCGGAAAUUCAGUGACCCUUCUGAAUGUCUUUAUAAGAAAAUCAGCUUUUUGUGCUGCCCCCUCAACCCCACCCACAGAAUUUCUUAUGCUGUACAACACAGAACUUCUCCUGUUCUCACAAAGACUUCGUACAGAGAGAUCUAUUUCUGCUUGGUGUUAGCUAACAUUUAUCUGAAGCCAUAGGAGAGUUGAAACGGUUGUUGGUUGGUUUUGUUUUCUAGGUUUAUUUCUGCAAAAUUUUCCUUGCACAGCUACAACCUUAUAUGUGGGAAGAGGAAGAGACACCAUUUGCAGGGCUAUUAGCUUCCCGUGCUCUCAGAAAAGAGUGAAGCAGAAAGAACCCAAAAUAAUCCACUAUAACAGAGAUUGUUCUUUUUAGGUUCAAGAUACACAGGAAGAGCAAUUUGUACUGAUGUUGCUACUGGUUUAAAGAAAGGUCUCAGUUACCAUCAUCUUAAUUGGUAAAAUUUAACAUUUCACACAUAAUAAGUUGCCAAAGGAACACUCAAACUGCAAAAACAAACCUCAGCUUCUUUCAAACAAAAAAGAAGAAACAAUGUUUUGGCCCUGCUUCAUCAAACCCUUAGACAAAUACGUAAGUCUACAAUUUAUAAUAGUGUCUAGUAAUUCUUAGAAUUCCAUUAACAUUACAUAUCAGACAAUAUAGUCUCUCUUUUAUGGAAAAGUAAACAGUACCAUUAUUUGGCAACAGAAGUAUAUUACAAUCAACAGCACAUCCAUCAAGGGGUGGGCCUGGUCCUACCCCUGGGCAGGGCUGUGAGGGGAGUAACAUGCCACCAGCACUGUGGCCCGCUUGUCACUGGAAGCACAAGGAGGUCACGUUCUGAUGGAUUACAUUCUUUUCCAAACAGGCAAAGGCUAUCUGGGAGGGUUCGCUAGCACUCCUGGGAAGGGAGGGCCCCAUGUUCUAGCUUUUCUUGUCCCCAGACUUUUUUGAAACAACCAGGGCCCAAGGGACAAUUGACUGGCUGACUUGUUCCCACUCACAGCCCUCUUGCCACCCCAGCCAGAUGGCAUCGUUCUAAGGAAGGAGAGUCAGGGCCUGUUUGGGGUGGGUGGACCAGAGCUCAUCUCCUCUGCUGGCAGGCCUUAGGUGACCUUCCAAGGCUGCGCCUGAACAAAGAAAUCUCUCAACAGCUCCAUGUUUGGGAAUAAAGCCAGUUAUGGACCACAUGGACAGUGCCUCUAAGUGAUUUGCAGGUUAUUCAUACAACUAAAUAGAUUCCAGGAAGCUUCCAGAAAUCACAGCUUCCCAUACUCCUGAAGUCAGGAGCUUUACCAGUUCGGGCCUCUCAAAAAAGGGGCUCCAGUUGCUGGUUGACAGCAUUAGGAUGCACGCAGCCUGUUCAAAGAAAUGUUGAAAACCUAACACGUUCUGCAGAUGUCUUUUCAGACCACAGGCCCUCAACCUUCCACCAGCGGUGUCACUCCCAAACACGAUGCCUUGAGAUCACCAGAAACCAGCUCUUUUUGUUACUGCAGUAUUUCCAGGCUGCCAGGGGAGGCUGGACUCCUGGGGUUGCCCCCUCCUGAAAUCAUUUCUGAAUGCCUCUCUCAGGGGUUUAGACAUUGAGUUUCAUGGAAUCCUCCUUAGGUGGCCUAAGGGGCACUUCUGGUGGCCAAGUACAGAAUGUCUGUGCCCCAGAAGCAGCCUGGACUCCUGAUCCUUUUCUGGGAAUGGAGAGAGGAGGAAGGCAUCUUCCCCCUGGGGUCUGCAUGCGACAUGGGCAUCCAGAAGCCUGUCCCAAAACAGCUUAACCCAGAAACCCUAAGCCAUCCAUCCACCCACCUGGCUGUGCAACAGUUGAAGACAGUGAAGAUGCAUCAGGAAAUUUCAUGGAAAACACAAACGCUAAUUAGGG
This is a long non-coding RNA of Nomascus leucogenys (northern white-cheeked gibbon), 2286 nucleotides long. RefSeq lists it as uncharacterized. The record is from RefSeq and is a predicted model, not a curated record. The transcript is spliced from 2 exons. Lineage: Eukaryota; Metazoa; Chordata; Mammalia; Primates; Hylobatidae.